Molecule: ribosomal RNA, 477 nt
Filed under: uncultured bacterium
Lineage: Bacteria
Description: partial 16S ribosomal RNA
Rfam family: Bacterial small subunit ribosomal RNA
Source: RNAcentral
AGUGAACGCUGGCGGCGUGCCAAACACAUGCAAGUCGAACGAUGAUGGAGGAGCUUGCUCUUCCUGAUUAGUGGCGCACGGGUGAGUAAUGCAUAGAUAAUGUGCCCCUUAGUUCGGGAUAGCCACUGGAAACGGUGAUUAAUACCGGAUACUCCUUCUUAUCAUAAGAUAAGUCGGGAAAGUUUUUCGCUAAGGGAUCAGUCUAUGUUCCAUCAGUUAGUUGGUGAGGUAACGGCUCGCCAAGACAAUGACGGAUAUCUGGUUUGAGAGGAUGAUCAGACACACUGGAACUGAGACACGGUCCAGACUCCUACGGGAGGCAGCAGUGAGGAAUAUUGCACAAUGGAGGAAACUCUGAUGCAGCAACGCCGCGUGGAGGAUGACGCAUUUCGGUGUGUAAACUCCUUUUAUUAGGGAAGAUUAUGACGGUACCUAAUGAAUAAGCACCGGCUAACUCCGUGCCAGCCGCCGCAGUAA